CCAGGGAUGGAACCACAUCCUUGUGGAUACUAGUCAGGCUCGUUAACUGCUGAGCCAUGAAGGGAACUCCCUAUUUCUUCACUUUUGAAGGCAGGGAAAGAUCAUCUAGUCUUAAGCUCAGGAAGGUGUUUAUUGGCAUCAUAUUAACCCUUUAGUGACAUAUAGUUCACUGAUAUCUUUAUAUUUGAGGAUAAGGCCUUGUGAAAAAUCAUACUCCCUUGCAGAUGUCUCAUUGUAUGUCUCGCAAGCAGAGAAAUUUGAAUGUUCAAUAUGCCAGGCUGUAUGCUUUCUUUUCUGUUAUUACAUUAUACUUCAGAUCCAUAUUUUUGUCUGGCUUGCUUAAAGACAUUUAGAAAUUUAUUGCAUUCAUCUUUUUCUUUUUCAUCCAAGGCAGCAUCCUCAAGAGGAACAGGACAGAAUAGUAAAUCCUAGAAACAGAGGAAUCCUAGGCUAGCAUCCUAGCUCUACCACUUAUGACUGGGUAUCAUCUAACUAGCCACAUAACUCUUUAAGCCUCAGACUUCCUUCUUGUAUAGGAAAAAAGACUUGUCUAGAUAUUAUGAUAACUUCCAGUUCUAAAAUAUUUUGUAAGAGAGAAAUCUUACUUUGUUAAAGACAAUAUGAAGUGUAACAGUAAAAGUCAAACAGUCAAGAACAUCUGCAAUCAGGGUAGGUAGCAGGCUGUGCCCAUGUGUUCUAAAAGCCUAGUCCUGACACCAGAGUUUUACACUGCAACAGCAUAAUCAUUCCUACCAGCAUGUUCCAUUAAAGCUUGACUUACUGCCAGGGAAUUCACCUGCUGACACAGUAAAACUCCUAACUGGAAGCAUUAACAUUGCAAUGUCAGAUGGGGAAAAAAAAAUGUUCAUAAAUUCCACGAACGUGCACUGCUUUACUUGAGGUCCUGGUUGCAAACUCAUUAUUUAUGCUGUGUACAGUAGGCCAUCAACAGAUCCCACUGGGAAAUUAGUUUGCAAUUUAGAAUCGUUUCAAAGUACAAGUGAUUCUCAAGUCAUUUUCCGAGGUUAAAUGAGAACUCUUAUUGCUUUCCGUGGGCUCAGAGGGAAUUUUUACUCUGUGUGUUCCCUCCUCCCCCAGCUCCUGCUACACUGUCUUGAUUUUUCUUUCUUAAAUGCGCUUUGGUGCUAAAUCUCUCUUUUUCAAUUUUUGAAAGCUGGUAAAUGGAAUGGUAUUUGUUGCAUUUUCUUGCUUGCUGGGACUCCUUAAGCACCUCACUUUUGAUUACUGCUUUUAUUCUUUGAAGACUCCUGAGAGGUUUCCCUGUGCUCUACCAACUACAUUGCUUAGCUAACAGAGGAGUGAUUUGGAAAGAUUGGCUGGCAUCCGCUUUAGGAUGCAGUGAAUCAGAGUCAUCAUCCCACUUCCCUUCCAGCUUCUCACUCUGGGGGGCCGUGCCAUGGGACAGGGCUCCAGGCGGGCAGACUAAGGGCACAAGGAAUGAGUCUUACAACUGCAGAAGAUGUGAACGGGAGGUUCAGUCUUGCUUAUGGGCUCAUGAGCCCACGGUAUAGAACAAACUGUUGAGAUAAAAAGUGUCCCACUGAUCCUUUCCGCCUUCACACACCCCUUGAUUCAAUUCAGAACAUCCUUAAGCAUAUUUUUAAGCUUUAUUUUACUGGUAAUUGUGUGUAUAUCUUCUCAAUCUUACCCCCAACCUAGGAGAACUGACCCUAAACCAUCUGGUAGAUAAUUUGUAACCUGAUAUUACCCUUGGAGAAUAAAGAGCAUUAUUUUAGUGUACCAUUGUACCCUUGAUCAUUCCCAGAAAGGAGCAAAUAAUCCAUAGUGUUAAGGUCUUUGAGGAAUUUUUUUUCUUUUCCUCCUUUCUCAAUAAGUUGCUGAAAUGCCAAAGCUGGUAUUAUUAGCUAUAAUGAAUAAACAUCAAAUAGAAAAUAAAUCAUUAAAUGACUCCCCUUCUCUGAUGAGAAACACUAGGGUUCAUUUGAAACCAAGAUUUCAACAUCUCUCUAAUGCAUUGGGAGAGUGUUUCCAUAGGCUCAGACCAGAAAGUAUACAAACCAAAGAGAUUGAGUGUUUAGUUUCAAAAUACAUGAAAUCACUAGUUUAAACAUAGAAACUACACACAAAGAGUGCAAAGACACAAUGAAAGCUGGAGAUCAACAGGGUAAAUAUCACCUAGAAAUACUAACAGUCUUAAAGGUCAGAAAUCCUUAGUUAAACAAAAAGACCCAUCCAUUAAAAACAAUCAAUUACAAGAUAACCUGAGAAUACCACACUAUGCAUUCCCUUUAAAAGCAGAUGUUGUUCUGCUAAGAGCUAUUAGCUAUGUGCUUUAGAGGUAAAUAGAUAGAGCAGGUAACAAACAGAGACUAAAACCCGAAGGAAAAGAAACCAAAAAUUAAGUGCAUUUGGAACUGCUUGAUAUUGAAUUUCUCAGGCACAGGGAAAAGGCUUUUGUCUCAUGGACAUCCAUCGCUACCUGUCAGCGCCUAGCUCUUUGGUAAUGCACAGAAAAAAACUUCACUAGUUACAAUAUUCUGAGUUAGUCUUUUUGGGUUGAAAUUGGCUUAAAACGUUUUCCUUGAUUAUAGAUAAUUCUUUUUCUACUAAUAUUUGAAUGUCAACAUGCUUUAAAAAUGAUCUUCCUUUCCUUCAAGAUUUGGAAGAGGUGGGUGUUGAUUUGGUUUUCUACUACUUUCUAUAGUUUUUUCUUUCUACAUGUAAUAUAUGUCUUAUAACUUGUGAACAUCUCAUAUAUUCAAUGCAUCUUUGUCUUUGUUUGGUAAAAUAAUAGGUUAGAUAAGGAUGAUACUUGGCAUAUAGAAACUUAACAUCUUUUAAUGUAUGAGAACACUUGAGUGGAUGGUAUUUAUAAAGAUAUUUCUCAUGUCCCUGAGAACUCUCUUUUCCAGACUUCCAUAUUGCCAUUUGUACUUUUAGACAGCAUACUAAUUAUUUGUCACUAAAUCCCCAAAUCUUCUCAUAUGUAUGGAGAUGGGCUGAACUGGUGAAAACGUCUCAACUCUCAAGGACAGUGUCUUAUCAUUAAGGCAAUUUCAGAGAUUCUUAGAUUUUUUUUUUAACAUUUCAUAAGUAGUUAAAAACAAUUUUCUACAAUGUGGCAAAAAUAAGCAGUAGGAUAUGAUCUUGUGUCUUCUCCAUUUCCAUAAAUAUUGUUUGAACAAGAGAAGAACUAGUCAUAUUCCACUUUCCGCUUCUCAAAGUUGUAACCUACUUUGACUUUGUCAUAGAGCCUUCUAUGACAAACUACAAAAAAGGGAUUACUGUAUCUUUAUUAGUAGAAUGAUACAUUAAUAUAUCUUUCUUUCCUCUCUCCCUAAAAUGUUAAGCUUCAUUCAAAAGUCUUAUUUUAAACCACAUGACAUAGGACGCUUCUUCUACCUAAAUUAGGAUCUGAAUGAUACUAUAACUGCAUCCUUGAAAAUAAUCCGAGGCAAAAUCCAUGGUAAAUCCAUGUUUUCUAGAUCACUAAAACAUAGCAUCGAUGCUGUGCUUUCAGGUGAACUUCUACAAAAUGCAAGCAUAUUAUUGAAAUCAAAAAAACCCCAAUGAUUGCAGGGCAGAAAGAGGACUCAUUAGAAUAUGCUCAUGUUGACAAGUUGAAUGAGGGGCUGAAGAUGCUGAAGAAAGUCAGGAAUCCUCUUCUUUAUGUGAAUAUCUGUCUAAAUCUAAUCCUAAGUAUAAACCAGAGUCUAACCUAUCACUCAUUAGCAUUAGUGUCCUCUCCCUCUAGCUACCCACACAUUUUGGUUUUGAUUAUGAAUGUGUCAUUUCUGGGGAUUAUUUUCCCAUUAGAUGUAAUCAUACAUUCUGAACCUUUGCUUAAUUGUCCUGAAAUGUUUGCCAACAAGGAAGAAGAGAAUAGGAUACAUGCCUCCUCUCCCUAAAACACGAAUUACCACCAGGCGUUCACUUUUUCUCUAGCCAGUCCCAUGGUCAGGCCUCUGGAGCAGAGACUGUACACAAACUGCCUGAUUAUGAGGUUCUCGCUCAUCAAAGUGAAAUUUUGCAAAGACAACAUAAGCAGCCUCAAAAUCUGCUGUUCUUGACACACAAACAUGAGCCCUUGGAUCUAGAAGGAACAAGGAGGCUAUAGCAUCUUUAAUAAAGUGGUUGAAGCCAGGGGUUGAAAGAACACAGAGCAUCCCUUUCUUCAGCUGGCAUUCACAACUGUGUCCCUGUCAGCAACUCAGACUCCAGACAGUCAAAACAGAACCCUUGAGUUCGCUUCAUUCCCUCCAAAGCUUGCUGCUCUGCUAGGCAGAGAUCAACAUUUUGGGGAAUUUUUUAAAGUGCUAUUUCUGAAGGCAGAGAGGAGAACAGAGACAUAACUGCACUGCCCCACUGAUUAGUUGGGCUUGCUUUCUUUUGUAAGUCUCUCAGAAACAUGGUGGCCCUCUCUGCAUGGGUUUUUAAAGUGCUUCUGUCUGAAUGCCCUUGGAACACUGAACAACAAAACAAAACAACAACAACAACAAAACAAAGUCUAGGCGGCACGUAGCCAGAUUUGAAUUUAAAAAGUUGCUAAUUUGGGACUCACUUCUCUCCAAUAGAAUUAUACGUGUGUAAGAAUUAUACACACACGGCUGAGGCUUUUCUCUGCUUAAAAAACAUCUGCAGUCAAUUAGAAAUAAGCCUGAGUGUCGUGUUAAUUCUGCAGAACCAAACAAAGUCAUUUUUGUUUAAACUCUUUCAGUGCUGUGAGAAUGAGAGGUUACAGGAGGAGGAAAAAAAAAAAAAAAGCAAUAGAACAAAACUACCCUGUGGCCCUGGAAGGGAGUUGAGGAGGCAAAUAAGAAUUACUUUUCUUUGAGAAUAUGAACCUGGAAAUUUGUUCCAGGAGGAUUCUAUUCUUUCCUAUUUCUCUCUUGGGGUAUGGGGAGUGGGGAGCAAGCCUACCCUUUCUUCUAAAAAGGCAACUUUUAAAAAAGCAAUGAAACAUUCUCCAGAUUCCCUCAAAAUAAAUUUGACCAGUUGAUGUGUUUGGCAAAUGAGUGGUAGCACUUCAUUUUUAAUUUUGUGGAAAGCCAAACAAAUCAAACUAUAUUUGUAGACCAUUGUGUGCAUUUCAAAUCACUGUCAUAGUUGCUAAAUGUGAUUGGUGUUCUGACUUCAGAUAUACUAAAAGCAACCAUUUCCACUGAAAUACUUAUCUUGCCGUGAAUAUCGGUGUUCAUGUCCACCUUUUGUUAACAGCAGUAGCAUUGAUUCCACUGGCACUGGAAUUUAUCUCUCUCAGAGAAGUCUGUGGAUAACCAGAGAUACCAUUUCCACACAACCACACUAGAGCUACAUGUUUUUAGGGUUGAUGGUCUCUAAAUAUAAAAGAGAAUUUCAACUCUUCCUUUGGGCUGAUGCAUUAUUUCUUCUCCAUAUCUCCCCUCCCCUUCCUUCCUUCCUCUUUCUUUUUCAUUUAAAAGUUUCAUUGAAGUGGGAGCUCCUGUCAUGGCGCAGAGGAAACGAAUCUGACUAGGAACCAUGAGGUUGGGGGUUCAAUCCCUAGUCUCUCUCAGUGGAUUAAGGAUUUGGUGUUGCCGUGAGCUGUGAUGUAGGUCACAGAUGUGGCUCAGAUCUGGUGUUGCUGUGGCUGUGGUGUAGGCCAGCGGCUACAGCUCCAAUUAGACUCCUAGCCUAGGAACCUCCAUAUGCCAUGAGUGCAGCCCUAAAAAAAAAAAAAA
Molecule: long non-coding RNA, 5681 nt
Filed under: Sus scrofa (pig)
Lineage: Eukaryota; Metazoa; Chordata; Mammalia; Artiodactyla; Suidae
Description: lncRNA (ENSSSCG00040001749.1)
Source: RNAcentral